This 433-nucleotide ribosomal RNA is filed under the name uncultured bacterium. Its description in RNAcentral is "partial 16S ribosomal RNA". It matches the Rfam family "Bacterial small subunit ribosomal RNA", at positions 29 to 507 of the family's 1533-position model. The record is from RNAcentral.
AACGAACGCUGGCGGCAUGCCUAACACAUGCAAGUCGAACGAGACCUUCGGGUCUAGUGGCGCACGGGGGCGUAACCCGUGGGAACCUGCCCUUAGGUUCGGCCUAACUCCCCGAAAGGGGUGCUAAUACCGGAUAAUGUCUUCGGACCAAGGAUUUAUCGCCUUUGGAUGUGCCCGCGUUGGAUUAGCUAGUUGGUAGGGUAAAAGCCUACCAAGGGGACGAUCCAUAGCUGGGAAGAGAGGCAGAUCAGCGACACUGGGAGUGAGACACGGCCCAGACUCCUACGGGAAGGAGGAGUGGCGGAUGGAGGACCAUGGGCGGAGGCAUGAACCACCACGGCCGGGUGAAUGAUGAAGGCAUUGAGGUAGUAAAGCGCAAUUAACCAGGAUGGUAAUGACGGUACCGGGAGAAUAAGCGCCGGCUAACUCCGUG